This 450-nucleotide ribosomal RNA is filed under the name uncultured Glomeromycotina. RNAcentral describes it as "SSU rRNA". It matches the Rfam family "Eukaryotic small subunit ribosomal RNA", at positions 569 to 1023 of the family's 1831-position model. Lineage: Eukaryota; Fungi; Glomeromycota. The record is from RNAcentral.
AGCAGCCGCGGUAAUUCCAGCUCCAAUAGCGUAUAUUAAAGUUGUUGCAGUUAAAAAGCUCGUAGUUGAAUUUCGGGAUCAAUACGUCGGUCGUGCUUCGGUACGUACUAACGUCAUUGAUUUCUCCCUUCUGACGAAUCGUGAUGUCAUUAAUUUGGUGUUACGGGGAGUUAGGACUGUUACUUUGAAAAAAUUAGAGUAGUUUAAAGCAAGCAAUCGCUCGAAUACAUUAGCAUGGAAUAAUGAAAUAGGACGUUCGAACCUAUUUUGUUGGUUUCUAGGAUCGACGUAAUGAUUAAUAGGGAUAGUUGGGGGCAUUAGUAUUCAAUUGUCAGAGGUGAAAUUCUUGGAUUUAUUGAAGACUAACUACUGCGAAAGCAUUUGCCAAGGAUGUUUUCAUUAAUCAAGAACGAAAGUUAGGGGAUCGAAGACGAUCAGAUACCGUCGUAG